Molecule: ribosomal RNA, 497 nt
Filed under: uncultured bacterium
Lineage: Bacteria
Description: partial 16S ribosomal RNA
Rfam family: Bacterial small subunit ribosomal RNA
Source: RNAcentral
GAUGAACGCUGGCGGCGUGCUUAAUACAUGCAAGUCGAGCGAACGGACGAUAAGUUUGUUUCUUUGACGUUUGCGGCGCACGUGUGUGUAACACGUGUAAAACCCACCUAUCUGACUGGUAUCUUUUCGGGAAUCCGGCUCUUACACCGUAUAAUCUUCUGAACCGUAUUGUUGAAUAGAGAAAUUCGGCCUUUCUGUCUCUACUAGAUGGAUCUGCGCUGCAUUAGCUAGUUGGUAAGGUAACGGCUUACCAAGGCAACGAUGCAUAGCCGACCUGAGAGGGUGAUCGGCCACACUGGAACUGAGACACGGUCCAGACUCCUACGGGAGGCAGCAGUAGGGAAUCUUCCGCAAUGGGCGAAAGCCUGACGGAGCAACGCCGCGUGAGUGAUGAAGGUCUUCGGAUCGUAAAACUCUGUUAUUAGGGAAGAACAUAUGUGUAAGUAACUGUGCACAUCUUGACGGUACCUAAUCAGAAAGCCACGGCUAACUACGUG